AGCCAGAAUCUUCUGCGUCAAAGCU
This 25-nucleotide unclassified non-coding RNA is filed under the name Mus musculus (house mouse). Its description in RNAcentral is "oocyte_clustered_small_RNA3354". The record is from RNAcentral. Lineage: Eukaryota; Metazoa; Chordata; Mammalia; Rodentia; Muridae.